Molecule: long non-coding RNA, 258 nt
Filed under: Cricetulus griseus (Chinese hamster)
Lineage: Eukaryota; Metazoa; Chordata; Mammalia; Rodentia; Cricetidae
Description: lncRNA (ENSCGRG00000025370.1)
Source: RNAcentral
GUUCUGCUCUGGUUAAGCCUAAGGUGGUCAAUGACCAUGGGAGAUGUGAUACCUGAGUUUUGAUUGGCUGAUUUGCUGUGCACAGACUACCUUCGUCCUCUUUCUCCAACCCUCCCUCCAAAUGACUGGCCUUCAUCUCCCUUCCACUGGACCAAGCAACUGCCCAGGGCACCUUCUGCAGCUCCUCUUUUAGAUGGCUCAUGAAUUCAUCACCCUGACACUGGAGGAGGGGGAUGGAGUGGGCACGGAGGCCUGGAG